Molecule: ribosomal RNA, 490 nt
Filed under: uncultured bacterium
Lineage: Bacteria
Description: bacterial SSU rRNA
Rfam family: Bacterial small subunit ribosomal RNA
Source: RNAcentral
AGGAUGAACGCUAGCGGCAGGCUUAAUACAUGCAAGUCGUGGGGGCAGCAUGAGUAGCAAUACUUGAUGGCGACCGGCAAACGGGUGAGGAACACGUACACUAACCUCCUUCGAAGCGGGGAAUAGCCCAGAGUAAAUUGGAUUAAUACCCCAUAAUAUAUUUGAUAAGGCAUCUUAUUAAUAUUAAAGCUUCGGCACUUGAUGAUGGGUGUGCGGCUGAUUAGAUAGUUGGCGGGGUAACGGCCCACCAAGUCUACGAUCAGUAGCUGAUGUGAGAGCAUGAUCAGCCACACGGGCACUGAGACACGGGCCCGACUCCUACGGGAGGCAGCAGUAAGGAAUAUUGGACAAUGGACGAAAGUCUGAUCCAGCCAUGCCCGCGUGAAGGAUUAAGGUCCUCUGGAUUGUAAACUUCUUUUAUAUGGGACGAAAAAAGGGCAUUCUUGUUCACUUGACGGUACCAUAUGAAUAAGCACCGGCUAACUCCGUG